Molecule: non-coding RNA, 483 nt
Organism: Dermacentor albipictus
Lineage: Eukaryota; Metazoa; Arthropoda; Arachnida; Ixodida; Ixodidae
Source: RefSeq, a predicted model, not a curated record
AAAGCUUCCUCCGUUUUUUGCGUUCUUUGUGUGCUUCGCUGUGACAUCUUUGGAAUAUUCCUGCGUGUUGCUGGCUUUUUAUGGGCUUGUUGCCUCGAAGAUCGCCAUGAUCGCCUCCGACUCAUCGACAUCAAAGAUUCAAAGUGAGCUGGGAGACGCCCCAGCUGGAACGCUAAAGGAAGCAGAAGAAAAAAAAAACAACAUUGCUGAUGCAACUGCAAGGCAUUUGCUCCAGUGAUCAAUUUGUGCAGAGUGCCUUCAUUAGGAGACAUGCCUUUAAGCACUCAGCUGAAAGACUUAACAUCUGCACCGGGACUGGGAGUGAAUUUCAGUGUCACUUGUGAACAUAUUAAAUGCAGAAUGUGCCUUUUUCAGUGUAUAUGACUGAUAUGAGAGGGGCGUUCACAAACUUAGUGUGGACAUUAGUGGUCUACAUGAGUGAACAUAUUUAUAGUUUUACCAGAACGAAGGUAUAAUGACCUA